AUUGAAUGCUGGCGGCAUGCCUUACACAUGCAAGUCGAACGGCAGCACGGGUGCUUGCACCUGGUGGCGAGUGGCGGAACGGGUGAGUAAUACAUCGGAAUGUACCUUGUAGUGGGGGAUAGCUCGGCGAAAGCCGGAUUAAUACCGCAUACGCUCUGAGGAGGAAAGCGGGGGGACCUUCGGGCCUCGUGCUACAAGAGCAGCCGAUGUCAGAUUAGCUUGUUGGUGAGGUAAAAGCUCACCAAGGCGACGAUCUGUAGCUGGUCUGAGAGGACGACCAGCCACACUGGGACUGAGACACGGCCCAGACUCCUACGGGAGGCAGCAGUGGGGAAUUUUGGACAAUGGGCGAAAGCCUGAUCCAGCAAUGCCG
Molecule: ribosomal RNA, 373 nt
Filed under: uncultured Pandoraea sp.
Lineage: Bacteria; Pseudomonadati; Pseudomonadota; Betaproteobacteria; Burkholderiales; Burkholderiaceae
Description: bacterial SSU rRNA
Rfam family: Bacterial small subunit ribosomal RNA
Source: RNAcentral